AUAAUGUGUCCUGCUCAGUGAUUAUUUAAACAGCCGCAGUACUCUGACUGUGCAAAGGUAGCAUAAUAAUUUGGCUUAUAAUUGAAGUCUAGAAUCAAUGGAUUUUUGAGCUUAAACUGUAUCAUAUAAUUAAUAUAUUUAACUUAAUUAUGAAGUGAAAAUACUUCAAAUAAAAUAUUAGACGAGAAGACCCUUGAAAUUUUUAUAAUUUAAUUCAAGUAAAAUUUUUGUUGGGGCAACAUAGUAACAAAUCUUAAAUUACUUAAAAAUAUAUAUAAAGUUAAUAAACAUAUUAAAUAAAUUACUCUAGGGAUAACAGCAUAAUUUAUAAUAGCUUGUGACCUCGAUGUUGGACUAAGUAUCCUUAAUUCAGAA
This 375-nucleotide ribosomal RNA is filed under the name Cochlostyla marinduquensis. Its description in RNAcentral is "partial 16S ribosomal RNA". Lineage: Eukaryota; Metazoa; Mollusca; Gastropoda; Stylommatophora; Camaenidae. The record is from RNAcentral.